UACAGAGGGUGCGAGCGUUGUCCGGAAUCACUGGGCGUAAAGGGCGCGUAGGUGGUGACCUAAGCGUGCGGUGAAAGCCCGAGGCUCAACCUCGGGUCGGCCGUGCGAACUGUCGAGCUGGAGCACUGUAGAGGCAGGUGGAAUUCCGGGUGUAGCGGUGGAAUGCGUAGAGAUCCGGAAGAACACCGGUGGCGAAGGCGGCCUGCUGGGCAGUGGCUGACGCUGAGGCGCGACAGCGUGGGGAGCAAACAGG
This 253-nucleotide ribosomal RNA is filed under the name uncultured bacterium. RNAcentral describes it as "partial 16S ribosomal RNA". It matches the Rfam family "Bacterial small subunit ribosomal RNA", at positions 524 to 776 of the family's 1533-position model. The record is from RNAcentral.